AUAGUUGCUAUGAAAAGGAAGAGUAAAAUAGAAACAAUUUUCAGAGAGGAUAUAUCAUAGGCUGAAAGUAUAUCUAAAAAUGACUAUUUGAAAACUACCUUGGAGCAGAGUUUAGUAGCUUAUAAGCGCUUAUAAGUAAAAGUACUCGGUUGACAACCUUAUAGUCAUCAAGAGGGCAAUGUUUAUAACAUGCCAACUUGGGUGGAACCGCGAAUGUUACUCGUCCCAUGA
RNAcentral lists this non-coding RNA (231 nucleotides) under Clostridium sp. RNAcentral's name for it is "T-box sequence". It matches the Rfam family "T-box leader". Rfam says of the family: Uncharged tRNA acts as the effector for transcription antitermination of genes in the T-box leader family. T-boxes are found upstream of many aminoacyl-tRNA synthetase genes and some amino acid biosynthetic genes usually in Gram-positive bacteria. The record is from RNAcentral. Lineage: Bacteria; Bacillati; Bacillota; Clostridia; Eubacteriales; Clostridiaceae.